RNAcentral lists this long non-coding RNA (905 nucleotides) under Mytilus galloprovincialis (Mediterranean mussel). Lineage: Eukaryota; Metazoa; Mollusca; Bivalvia; Mytilida; Mytilidae. The record is from RNAcentral.
GCCCAUAAUAUUACAUAUUAUAUCUGCAAAAAGAUGCGUGUGCAAAUCUCUGUUUUCUUCAAUUACUUGAUACAACCUUAUAAAAAAGAUGAAUGAUCAUCACUACAUUAAAAAUAAGCAUUUUUUUUUUACAUAAAUAAGACCGUUAGUUUUCUCGUUUGAAUUGUUUUACAUUGUCUUAUCGGGGCCUUUUAUAGCUGACUAUGCGGUAUCAUAAUGGGCUUUGCUCAUUGUUGAAUGCCGUACGGUGACCUAUAGUUGUUAAUGUCUGUGUCAUUUUGGUCUUUUGUGGAUAGUUGUAUGAUUGGCAAUCAUACCACAUCUUCUUUUUUAUAUAAAUAAUGGUAAAUUAUUGUUUAUCUCAGGUUCAUCAAAAUAAGGAGUCGGUAUUAAGAAACAACAAAAAUUAUACUUAUCACUUCCUUGAAAAAUGUUAUCAUUGCAUGCAUGUCGAAAGAUGUGUAAAGUAUGAUUGCCAAUGCAGCAACAAUUACUUGCCACUAAAUAUCAAAGUACAUUUUGACAGAUAACUUUUUGUUUUAACAAUAUAGGAAUGCAAGAUUUGAAAGACAAGGGAAAUGAAACGAUGAACACUAGUCCUCGUGAUGUGUAUGCUAAAUAUUCAAAAUAUUUGAUAAAUAAAAAAAAAUCAGAUUUUUAAUAAUUUGUAGGAAUGAAUAUUCGUAUCUUUGUGAAAAUCCUCUUUCUGGUAGGUAACUGGGUCCGGUGAUGUUAUUGUAUUAAAUUUGUUACUAGGCCAUUGUUUUAGGUACAUUUAGAAACUUUUACUUCUUAUACACUAUUGGUACUUCAACGAAAGUUUAUUCGAAAAUUCAUUCUUGACACCAAUCUGAAUAUUUUAUGAAACGUUUAUGAAAAAUUGUGAUAUUUCUUUUAAAGAGCAA